AACAGGAUUAGAUACCCUGGUAGUCCACGCCGUAAACGAUGUCUACUUGGAGGCUGUGGUCUUGAACCGUGGCUUCCGGAGCUAACGCGUUAAGUAGACCGCCUGGGGAGUACGGCCGCAAGGUUAAAACUCAAAUGAAUUGACGGGGGCCCGCACAAGCGGUGGAGCAUGUGGUUUAAUUCGAUGCAACGCGAAGAACCUUACCUACUCUUGACAUCCAGAGAACUUAGCAGAGAUGCUUUGGUGCCUUCGGGAACUCUGAGACAGGUGCUGCAUGGCUGUCGUCAGCUCGUGUUGUGAAAUGUUGGGUUAAGUCCCGCAACGAGCGCAACCCUUAUCCUUUGUUGCCAGCGAUUCGGUCGGGAACUCAAAGGAGACUGCCAGUGAUAAACUGGAGGAAGGUGGGGAUGACGUCAAGUCAUCAUGGCCCUUACGAGUAGGGCUACACACGUGCUACAAUGGCGCAUACAAAGAGAAGCGACCUCGCGAGAGCAAGCGGACCUCAUAAAGUGCGUCGUAGUCCGGAUUGGAGUCUGCAACUCGACUCCAUGAAGUCGGAAUCGCUAGUAAUCGUGGAUCAGAAUGCCACGGUGAAUACGUUCCCGGGCCUUGUACACACCGCCCGUCACACCAUGGGAGUGGGUUGCAAAAGAAGUAGGUAGCUUAACCUUCGGGAGGGCGCUUACCACUUUGUGAUUCAUGACUGGGGUGAAGUCGUAACAAGGUAACC
Molecule: ribosomal RNA, 730 nt
Filed under: uncultured bacterium
Lineage: Bacteria
Description: bacterial SSU rRNA
Rfam family: Bacterial small subunit ribosomal RNA
Source: RNAcentral